RNAcentral lists this ribosomal RNA (301 nucleotides) under uncultured bacterium. RNAcentral describes it as "partial 16S ribosomal RNA". It matches the Rfam family "Bacterial small subunit ribosomal RNA", at positions 509 to 809 of the family's 1533-position model. The record is from RNAcentral.
CAGUAGCCGCGGUAAUACGAAGGGGGCUAGCGCUGCUCGGAAUGACUGGGCGUAAAGGGCGCGUAGGCGGUUUUCCAAGUUAGAUGUGAAAUUCCUGGGCUCAACCUGGGGACUGCAUUUGAUACUGGGAGGCUUGAGUAUGGAAGAGGGUCGUGGAAUUCCCAGUGUAGAGGUGAAAUUCGUAGAUAUUGGGAAGAACACCGGUGGCGAAGGCGGCGACCUGGUCCAUAACUGACGCUGAGGCGCGAAAGCGUGGGGAGCAAACAGGAUUAGAUACCCGUGUAGUCCCUGUCUCUUAUAA